This 84-nucleotide non-coding RNA is filed under the name Pseudomonas massiliensis. The record is from RNAcentral. Lineage: Bacteria; Pseudomonadati; Pseudomonadota; Gammaproteobacteria; Pseudomonadales; Pseudomonadaceae.
UCAUGGCGGCUGUUCGCGGGAGACAAGCUUGUCUGCCGGGUUCCGUGUGUCCCGGUUCGCCAACCUGCGUACAGCUGCCACCCU